This 548-nucleotide long non-coding RNA is filed under the name Lactuca sativa (garden lettuce). Its description in RNAcentral is "long non-coding RNA (LSAT_LNC005447)". Lineage: Eukaryota; Viridiplantae; Streptophyta; Magnoliopsida; Asterales; Asteraceae. The record is from RNAcentral.
UCUUUUUUCACACACGAGAGAGAUCAAGAUCAUGUCCGGUUUCACCUUUAUGGGUGGACGUGGAACAAAAAAAACGCGAUUUUUGUCUGAUUGAGAUGAGAGUCAAGAGUCUCAGACGAAUGUAUGCCAAACACAGUAUAAAUUGUAGAAUUAUUUAAAGUUUGUUUUUGGUGUUUAUUAGGAUGGAUCAAACAACGACAUUCCAAGUGAUACGUUUGAAGUUCAAGGUUACCCGACGUUGUAUUUCAGAACCUCAAGUGGAAAAGUGUUGCCAUAUGAUGGGAACAGAACAAAAGAAGAUAUUAUCGAGUUCAUUCAAAAGAACCGUGAAGGCGAGAUUUCUCAACCAACCACAACAACCGAACCAGCAAAAGAUGAGCUAUGAAGAGUUUUCUUUUCCCAUCCGUAGUUCAGUUUCAUGUACUCUUUUAAGUUUUGAGACUUUUUAAGUUAAAAUUGCGGAUAUUAUCCUUAAAUUAGUUGUGUACCAAACCGCCACCUCCACCACCACCACCGUUGCCACCAUGGCCACCACCGGGUACUUUUGU